CCAAAAUAUAAAUUGAAAAUUGAAUGUCAAAAUAGUCCAUGCUGAAUUGGUGAUUUGUUGGUAACCAAAAUCUUUUUGCGUUCAUUCCAUAAAUCUCCAAAUGUAGUGAAUUGAAAAAACAAGUUGCAAGAUUUAAACUUUGGCAAAGCCAAGCUGUUACUAUAGCCAGUUCAGAGAAUAUACUAUCAGAAAUGGUAAGUUAUAACGAAAUAGAAUAAGCACUCUCUAUCUGGUACAGUAGCUGCAGUUCACCAACAAGGAGUUCCCCCACCCUUGUGAAAUAUAAAUCAGUACAAACAAAACCAGGUGAAGAGCGCUGGAGCUUCAAAUUACAUACGUAGAAGGAGAGGGCGGUAUCUUAAGGAAAAAGAACACAAUAAUAGUGCAGCAUAUUAACAAAAUAGUGCCAAAAGGGGGGAACACUCACACUUUAUGGAGCUAUAUAAGCUCUAUUUCAUGGGCCUGGACGGAAUAAUCCCAGUCUAAGGAUAUCUUUAUAGUUGUCAGCAGUGCUUGACUCUCAAGUGGAUAAAAGGUCACCAUACAUAAAGAGAAAAUAAAAAAAAAUCCAAUUGUGACCGUAAUUGUAAAAGGAUAAAACCUACUUAUGAUCUAGAGCAGGGGUUCUCAAACGUUUAAACAGGGGGCCAGUUCACGGUCCCUCAGACACUGGGGGCCGGACUAUAAAAAAUAUUAACGAAUUCCUAUGCACACUGCACACACGCAUAAGGAC
Non-coding RNA from Pelobates cultripes (western spadefoot toad), 733 nucleotides. The record is from the annotation of a GenBank genome assembly. Lineage: Eukaryota; Metazoa; Chordata; Amphibia; Anura; Pelobatidae.